CCGUCAACAUCGGCUGCUGACUGAAAUAGAUCUUUGGUUUUGCCUUUGCUGACUGCUGAUCUGGUCAUCUCCACUCUGGUUACCUGCUGCAGAAACCCUCUUCCUCUAUCAUUAACAAGCAAUUCUGUCUGUCCUGUCACUCUCUCCACUCGAUCUAUUUUGACAAGCCAUUCUAUCUUGUAUGACUCUAUCCCAAGAGCUCUAUCUAAUUUACCAAAAAUCACGUUUUCACUGGAAUCAAGUUUUGACUGGAAUCAAGUUUUGACUGGAAUAAUCAAGUUUUGACUGGUCCCAGUUUUGGGGAAAUUUAAGUUACCAGUACUUCAUCGAUCUGUUACAGAAUUCUGAGAGAUCUCUGCUCUCACUGCUCCUUCUUUCCUGUCGUCAAACUCUCUCACAUCCAGUCGUUUUGCUGGAAAUUACAAGUAUAAAGUUGACUAUACAGUAGUAUAUUAAUUAAUUAUUUACACAUCCCUAUAUUUGUAAUUUUUAUUUUUACAUUUGUAACACUUUGGAAUAAACACUGAUUAUUUGGCUUACAGGUGCAAUUACUUUCAUAAAUUCUAUAAAAUAUUCACCUUUUUAAAGGUUUAUUUGGAAUAAGAUAAUCUUGUUAUUCUGUAAUACAUAUUUUCAGAGUGCUAUAUUCACAUAAAUAUUUAAUUUGAUUUCUUCAAAUACCUUUUGCUAGUUUGUUUCAUUGGAGAUAACAUUUGAGAACAGUAGGUUUAUACUAUUAUUAUUUUAAGGACAAACACAUUUCUGUUAGUCAUUGUAAGUGUUCGUAUUGUCAUCAAUAAUCUGCCCUGAGGACCCAGACUUCCCGUUUCCUGACUGCUGCAGAACAUCCAGCUGAAGAGUCCUCAUCGCCUGUCAUCUGAUCACCACAGCUCUUUAUAUUUGCUUAAAAUCUUAGAUAUCUGAAAGAUUAAGACAAAGUCUACUUAAAAGCUAAGAGUUAUUAUACCCUGUUUAUUGUUGUGAUUUCUACAUAUCCCUUUACAGAAAUAUAGAUCUAAUCAUUAACCAGUCUCGUUAAAAAAUAUACAGUUUUUGAAAAUACUACAAUAAAACUGACCCAAGUUUUUUUUUUAGAGAACUUUG
Oreochromis aureus is the source of this 1104-nucleotide long non-coding RNA. RefSeq lists it as uncharacterized. The record is from RefSeq and is a predicted model, not a curated record. Lineage: Eukaryota; Metazoa; Chordata; Actinopteri; Cichliformes; Cichlidae. The transcript has 4 exons.